UACGGGGGUGGCAAGCGUUACUCGGAAUCAUUGGGUGUAAAGGGCAGGUAGGCGGCUUAUUAAGUGAGGGGUGAAAUUCCGCAACUCAAUUGCGGAACUGCCUUUCAAACUGGUAGGCUUGAGGACGGAAGAGGAAAACGGAAUUAGCAGUGUAAGGGUGAAAUCUGUAGAUAUUGCUAAGAACAUCAACGGCGUAAGCAGUUUUCUGGUCCGUUUCUGACGCUGAACUGCGAAAGCUAGGGGAGCAAACAGA
RNAcentral lists this unclassified non-coding RNA (253 nucleotides) under uncultured bacterium. RNAcentral's name for it is "contains 16S-23S intergenic spacer region". It matches the Rfam family "Bacterial small subunit ribosomal RNA", at positions 524 to 776 of the family's 1533-position model. The record is from RNAcentral.